GGGGGGUUAGUCUAAACAAGACUACUAAUUUCGACUUAGUAAAUUCUGAUCACACCAGAACCCCUAA
This 67-nucleotide transfer RNA is filed under the name Takydromus sylvaticus. Its description in RNAcentral is "tRNA-Arg". Lineage: Eukaryota; Metazoa; Chordata; Lepidosauria; Squamata; Lacertidae. The record is from RNAcentral.